This 523-nucleotide ribosomal RNA is filed under the name uncultured bacterium. RNAcentral's name for it is "bacterial SSU rRNA". It matches the Rfam family "Bacterial small subunit ribosomal RNA", at positions 48 to 507 of the family's 1533-position model. The record is from RNAcentral.
AUUAGGCAUGCAAGUCGAACGGUAUAAACCUUCGGGGUUUAGAGAGUGGCGAACGGGUGAGUAACACGUAGGUAAUCUACCCUCAAAACGGGGACAACCCAGGGGAAACUUGGGCUAAUACCGGAUGCGUGCAAGCAAUGUUUUGGCUGUUAAUGCUAUUCACGGAAGUGAGUAGUGUUAAUGGUUGAGAGCAUUAUUUGCAUAAAAGGUGGCAUAUGCUGCCGUUUGAGGAUGAGCCUGCGUCCUAUUAGUUAGUUGGUGAGGUAAUGGCUUACUAAGGCGAUGAUAGGUAGGCGGCCCUAACGGGUGGUCGCCCACACUGGGAUUGAGAGACGGCCCAGACUCCUACGGGAGGCAGCAGUCGAGAAUAGUCUACAAUGGACGGAAGUCUGAUAGUGCGACGCCGCGUGAACGAAGAAUCCCUUCGGGGUGUAAAGUUCUUUUAUACGUGAGCAGUGCCCUUUAUAUGAAUAGUAUAGAGGGAGGGAUUUAAGCGUAUGAAUAAGCAACGGCUAACUCCGUG